UACGUAGGGUGCGAGCGUUAAUCGGAAUUACUGGGCGGAAAGUGUGCGCAGGCGGCUUCGCAAGUCGAGUGUGAAAUCCCCGAGCUUAACUUGGGAAUUGCGCUCGAAACUACGGAGCUGGAGUGUGGCAGAGGAAGGUGGAAUUCCACGUGUAGCGGUGAAAUGCGUAGAGAUGUGGAGGAACACCGAUGGCGAAGGCAGCCUUCUGGGCCAACACUGACGCUCAUGCACGAAAGCGUGGGGAGCAAACAGG
RNAcentral lists this ribosomal RNA (253 nucleotides) under uncultured bacterium. RNAcentral's name for it is "partial 16S ribosomal RNA". It matches the Rfam family "Bacterial small subunit ribosomal RNA", at positions 524 to 776 of the family's 1533-position model. The record is from RNAcentral.